CCCUUAGAUGUUCUGGGCUGCACGCGCGCUACACUGAUGCACUCAACGAGUUUACGACCUUGUCCGAGAGGAUUGGGUAAUCUUUUUAAAAUGCAUCGUGAUGGGGAUAGAUUAUUGCAAUUAUUAAUCUUCAACGAGGAAUUCCUAGUAAGCGCGAGUCAUCAGCUCGUGCUGAUUACGUCCCUGCCCUUUGUACACACCGCCCGUCGCACCUACCGAUUGAAUGGUCCGGUGAAAUCUUGGGAUUUUGUUUUGUUUGCAUUUAUUUGUAUCGAGACGAGAGAACUUGAGUAAACCUUACCAUUUAGAGGAAGGUGAAGUCGUAACA
RNAcentral lists this ribosomal RNA (328 nucleotides) under uncultured eukaryote. RNAcentral's name for it is "partial 18S ribosomal RNA". It matches the Rfam family "Eukaryotic small subunit ribosomal RNA", at positions 1470 to 1796 of the family's 1831-position model. The record is from RNAcentral.